RNAcentral lists this long non-coding RNA (263 nucleotides) under Elaeis guineensis (African oil palm). RNAcentral's name for it is "long non-coding RNA (EGUI_LNC001071)". Lineage: Eukaryota; Viridiplantae; Streptophyta; Magnoliopsida; Arecales; Arecaceae. The record is from RNAcentral.
GUGAGCCAUUUUUCCUCUUCUCCAUUCCUCAGGUUCUUCAAUUUUUUCCUAAUAUAUAGAUUUUUAUUUUUAUUCUAUCGUUUUGAGAUUGUCUCCCCCAUACCGAUGGCACCCCUCUAUUUGUGUGUUAGUGGGUGUUGCGGUAGUUCUCUAUCAGGGCUUCUUCCACCCCCUCUACCAACGGACACAAGAUUUUGAUCUAAUCUCCCUCUCUUCCUUGGGUUCUUAUCUUUGGUCACUUGUGUUUUGCUUUAUGGUAUGGG